CAGCAACAAAUGAUCAAAUCCGUAACCCUUCUUCUCAAUUCUUCUCCAAAAUUCAAAUGAUCACAACUUCUUCGUUUCUCAACGAAAUUUAGCGAUUCUUGCGGCCACGGAACGAGGAAACGAUUAUCUACAGCUCUGUGGGUUGAAUUUGAGGUGUUUACAAGCUUCCAUGGAAGGUUUUUGAUGAUGAAUUUGGGCAUGGAACCUUCGGCCAAGAGACAAUCAUCAAGACUCGAAGGAGCGACUAUCGAUAAGGCUCGAGGAAAACGGAUCGAGAUAUUGUCAAGCUUAUUUGAAGAAUUUGGAUAGCAAGUGGGAUAGCAUGAUAUUAUUUGGAAAGUCAAGCUUCCGAAGUUUUAAUUCUCGGAAGUCAUUUGCACAAGAAGUGACAGAAGGUUUUCAUUCUAGCAGUCCGCAGUAGUCUAGAUGUUUUUGUCUAUGUAUUUGACUAGCGCAUUUUAACUCUGAUAUUUUUGUAAAAUGGGGUCACAUGUAUUUUGAUAUAUGAAAAAAAUGAUUUGAUUUGCGAAAAA
Long non-coding RNA from Mercurialis annua (annual mercury), 533 nucleotides. RefSeq lists it as uncharacterized. The record is from RefSeq and is a predicted model, not a curated record. The transcript has 4 exons. NCBI's taxonomy places the organism in Eukaryota, Viridiplantae, Streptophyta, Magnoliopsida, Malpighiales, Euphorbiaceae.